RNAcentral lists this ribosomal RNA (400 nucleotides) under uncultured Lactobacillus sp. RNAcentral describes it as "bacterial SSU rRNA". It matches the Rfam family "Bacterial small subunit ribosomal RNA", at positions 154 to 524 of the family's 1533-position model. Lineage: Bacteria; Bacillati; Bacillota; Bacilli; Lactobacillales; Lactobacillaceae. The record is from RNAcentral.
AAACAGAUGCUAAUACCGGAUAACAACAGAUGAUGCCUAUCAAACUGUUUUAAAAAGAUGGUUCUGCUAUCACUCUUGGAUGGACCUGCGGUGCAUUAGCUAGUUGGUAGGGUAACGGCCUACCAAGGCGAUGAUGCAUAGCCCGAGUUGAGAGACUGAUCGGGCCACAUUGGGGACUGAGACACGGGCCCAAACUCCUACGGGGGGAGGGGCAGCAGUAGGGGGAAUCUUCCACAAUGGACGCAAGUCUGAUGGAGCAACGCCGCGUGAGUGAAGAAGGGUUUCGGCUCGUAAAGCUCUGUUGUUGGUGAAGAAGGACAGGGGUAGUAACUGACCUUUUGUUUGACGGUAAUCAAUUAGAAAGUCACGGCUAAACUACGUGCCAGCAGCCCGCGGUAAU